This is a long non-coding RNA of Calidris pugnax (ruff), 1465 nucleotides long. RefSeq lists it as uncharacterized. NCBI's taxonomy places the organism in Eukaryota, Metazoa, Chordata, Aves, Charadriiformes, Scolopacidae. The record is from RefSeq and is a predicted model, not a curated record. The transcript has 3 exons.
GCAAGGUUCUUCAUCCCGGGUCGCUCGGCACUGCAGACAAACCUGAAAAUUCAAGAAAUAGUCCAUGGACUGCAUGCAGCUGGUCAGCAAGUGGAACCCAAACUGCGGGUCAUAUAUCUCGCAUUCCUGAGGAAGGCUGUUGUUAGAUAAUUGCCAGCCAUAAACUUUUAAGUGUAGUUUAGAUGAAAAAAAAGAUAAAGAGCUGUUUAGGUAUCCUUUGGAUGUUUGCAUAGGUGCUUUUACAGGAGCUCGGGAAAGGAAAAUAUUCUGAUAAGAAUGAACAAACAGGAAAAUGUGAUUGCAGUCGUCAUACCUCCAGAACUUCCUCAGAGACACAUGAUGUAGCCCAUGCAGGCUAAUCCCAGCCGCUGCAUGGAGGAUGGUCUUUCGUUUCAAGCCUGGGUCAUUUUUCAUGCUGUUUACCCUGACACUUUUAAACAAACGGUUAAUCACAGUAUGGAGGAAUAUAUCGUUUUCAUUACUUUCAAUACAAUGAUUUCUCAGUUUGUGAUAAUCAGUUGCAAUGACUUAAUAUAAGCCACCCACCUAUAUCUUUUAUUUAACUACAGGACAUUUCUGUCAGACAUAGCUAAUAGGUGUUCCUGUAAAUGAAAUUACAUGCAUAGCCUAUAAAAAUCAACAAAAGACUAUAAUUCAUAUAUUACUCCUCAGGUUCAUAUUCUGCCCUGAUAGUAGAAAUUGAUAUCCUUGCUUAAUACAGCAAUUCAAGAGUAAAAUUUAAAUAGAGUAUUUCUAGAUGGAGCUGUAAUAUAGGUAACAAAUACCUAUACAUUGGCCUUUUCAAGGAAUACUGGUAUAGUGGUGCUCAUAAAAUAAUAAUAAUGGAAAUUAUUUAAUUUCUAAUUUUAAAAUUCCACUUAAGUUUUCAGUUACCAGGAAAUAAUAGUCUACUCUUUUUGACCUAUAUUUUUGAAUUAACAUCUUCAUGAAUGGUGUCAUUGAAAACUGAAAAAUCAGGAAAGGAAAUACAGUUUCAUUUAACAGAUGUGAGUUUAGCUGAGAUGUAGCUAGAUCUAAUUUCAGGGACAUCAGAUCUGCAUAAAGCCAGUAAUUUUUUAAAACGGCUGCUCACAUGCUGCCAACAAAAUUUGUGUAUACACUUACUGACUGUACGGAAUCCAGUAUUUGCAUGCAAAAUAUAUUUGCAAAAUUGGUAACUGUGUCUGAGGUCAUAUUUACACAUCUAAAGUAUCCAUUCUGUAUAUGAAGAUUCCUGUUUCCUUAUGUAUAUACUCCCGUGAAACAAGUUCCUUCAAGUAUUACACUGGGAUAGUUUAGGUGUCCUGUUCUUCUACUUACAGAUUAGUUCCUGUAUGUCCUCUGUCUCCUAGGAUGAGUUUUUCAGUUAAGAAAUGCUUCUAAUCUGGAAAGAAGCAAUAAAAUGUUAAAAUCCAAUAUGCUAAAACCAAUUCUUAGCUAUUUUUGUUAUAGGAUGCAAGGACUU